UCGAUCUUCUUCAUCUUUAAAUUUUGUUCGACUCUGUUUUAACCUGGGAAAUGAACGAUCCUAAAUAUGCUUACCCAUAUCCCACCCAAGGUUAUUACCAAGGGCCUCCUGUAAUGGCUCCUCCCCAAUAUGCCGCUCCACCACCAAUGGCAGAACCAGGAUGCUUCGAAGCAUGUCUUGCGGCUUUCUGUUGUUGUUGUCUUAUAGAUGAGUGUUGCUGUGACCCCACUCUUAUGUUCGUGACUUGAAGAUGUUCAUCCACCUCACAG
Telopea speciosissima is the source of this 269-nucleotide long non-coding RNA. RefSeq lists it as uncharacterized. NCBI's taxonomy places the organism in Eukaryota, Viridiplantae, Streptophyta, Magnoliopsida, Proteales, Proteaceae. The transcript has 4 exons. The record is from RefSeq and is a predicted model, not a curated record.